Molecule: long non-coding RNA, 351 nt
Organism: Triticum dicoccoides
Lineage: Eukaryota; Viridiplantae; Streptophyta; Magnoliopsida; Poales; Poaceae
Exons: 3
Source: RefSeq, a predicted model, not a curated record
UUAGAUUACUAUAGGAGUUCGUUAAAACCAGUUAUGGUGGAGGCAUUAGUUUGUGGUGCAAGUUAUAUCAAGGGUGCUCAUGUUGACUUGAAUCUGGUGCCGAGGGAUGAGAAUGAAGAGGAUGAUGUUGAGAACAUCAAGUUACCCACUGUGGUGGAGGAGAUCAACGAUUGACAUUCAUCAUGUGGAUGUUGAUCUUGCUAUUUUGGAGAUGAAUGUCAAAGUGAUCUUUCUCAUGUGAAGGCUACUUUUGCAUUUCUGUUAUGUUUGUCAUGAACUAUGAAUUGUCACUGCUAGCUUGGAGAUGAACCUCUCAUUUGUGUUAUGUUCAACUUGUCAAUUGCCAUGGAA